AUUGAACGCUGGCGGAAUGCUUUACGCAUGUAAGUCGAACGGCAGCACGAGAGCUUGCUCUUGGUGGCGAGUGGCGAACGGGUGAGUAAUAUAUCGGAACGUAUCCAAUAAUGGGGGAUAACUAAUCGAAAGGUUAGCUAAUACCGCAUACGCCCUACGGGGGAAAGCAGGGGAUCUUCGGACCUUGCGUUAAUGGAGCGGCUGAUAUCUGAUUAGCUAGUAGGUGAGGUAAAGGCUCACCUAGGCUUCGAUCAGUAGCUGGUCUGAGAGGACGACCAGCCACACUGGAACUGAGACACGGUCCAGACUCCUACGGGAGGCAGCAGUGGGGAAUUUUGGACAAUGGGCGCAAGCCUGAUCCAGCCAUUCCGCGUGAGUGAAGAAGGCCUUCGGGUUGUAAAGCUCUUUCGCAAGGGAAGAAACGAUACCGACGAAUAAUCGGUGUUAAUGACGGUACCUUGAUAAGAAGCACCGGCUAACUACGUGCCAGCCGCCGCAGUAAAAC
RNAcentral lists this ribosomal RNA (505 nucleotides) under uncultured bacterium. RNAcentral describes it as "bacterial SSU rRNA". It matches the Rfam family "Bacterial small subunit ribosomal RNA", at positions 30 to 526 of the family's 1533-position model. The record is from RNAcentral.